CGGACCACGAAGACCUGCAAAAUGUAAUGCCGCUAAAUCUAGCUUUUCGCGAAAAGUCGUCUACGAACAAAGAGCAGCCAUGGAAGCAAAAAAUAAAAUAAAGAAAAUAACACGGGUGCCGGGAAGCGAAACUCUCCGAGAAGGGGACGUUUGUUUGCUAUAAUUUUUGGAGACCGGGGACCGCUGCGGCGGGCAUAACUUUUUCAAGAAAGACACUCCUCUGACAAGGCAGCCUGUACAAUGUCAGUCAGGCCAGGCCUAACGAACACCGACCUCGGCGGCACCACUCGCGGCUCCUGCGCGUCCCUGGACUGCUCGUGUGGGGCUUUUGUGACCCGUGAGGACGCAUUUGGAUAUGCGGACUGUCCGGCCGGUUGGUGCUUGAUUUGUGGCCAUCCACCAGCACAGCACGGGACUUUAGUGAAAACAAUGUCGUUAAGGAGGCCAAUACGGCACUUAGAAGAGUGCAAUAUUCAUUGCUUGGGUCAACUUUGGCACAAAAAUACCCGGACAUGCUUUGGGACCGACCGAAACCUGGGACCAAGCUCUCAACGAGACAGACACGUCUCUGGAGUGUAUUCAUGUGCCGGUUAACAGCGAGGCGAAAGAUGAGGUACGCACGAGAAAAAAAAAACAAGGCGCAGGCA
RNAcentral lists this unclassified non-coding RNA (647 nucleotides) under Ixodes scapularis (black-legged tick). RNAcentral describes it as "uncharacterized LOC121837052, transcript variant X3". Lineage: Eukaryota; Metazoa; Arthropoda; Arachnida; Ixodida; Ixodidae. The record is from RNAcentral.